Molecule: ribosomal RNA, 486 nt
Filed under: uncultured bacterium
Lineage: Bacteria
Description: bacterial SSU rRNA
Rfam family: Bacterial small subunit ribosomal RNA
Source: RNAcentral
AGAGUUUGAUCCUGGCUCAGAACGAACGCUGGCGGCGCGCCUAACACAUGCAAGUCGAACGGGGAGUUCCGGCUUCGGCUGGGACUUUCAGUGGCGGACGGGUGAGUAACGCGUGGGAACCUGCCCCAAGGUACGGAACAACCCAGGGAAACUUGGGCUAAUGCCGUAUACACCCUACGGGGGAAAGAUUUAUCGCCUUGGGAUGGGCCCGCGUCCGAUUAGCUUGUUGGUGGGGUAAUGGCCUACCAAGGCUGCGAUCGGUAGCUGGUCUGAGAGGACGAUCAGCCACACUGGGACUGAGACACGGCCCAGACUCCUACGGGAGGCAGCAGUGGGGAAUCUUGGACAAUGGGCGAAAGCCUGAUCCAGCGACGCCGCGUGGGUGACGAAGGCCCUAGGGUUGUAAAGCCCUUUCGCCGGGGACGAUGAUGACGGUACCCGGAGAAGAAGCACCGGCUAACUCCGUGCCAGCAGCCGCGGUAAUAC